UACGUAGGGGGCUAGCGUUGUCCGGAAUCAUUGGGCGUAAAGCGCGCGUAGGCGGCCCUGUUAGUCCGCUGUAAAAGUCAAAGGCUCAACCUUUGAAUGCCGGUGGAUACUGGAUGGCUUGAAUCCGGGAGAGGGAUGCAGAAUUCCAGGUGUAGCGGUGAAAUGCGUAGAUAUCUGGAGGAAUACCGGUGGCGAAGGCGGCAUCCUGGACCGGCAUUGACGCUGAGGAGCGAAAGCUAGGGGAGCAAACGGG
RNAcentral lists this ribosomal RNA (253 nucleotides) under uncultured bacterium. RNAcentral's name for it is "partial 16S ribosomal RNA". It matches the Rfam family "Bacterial small subunit ribosomal RNA", at positions 524 to 776 of the family's 1533-position model. The record is from RNAcentral.